This is a long non-coding RNA of Eucalyptus grandis, 420 nucleotides long. RefSeq lists it as uncharacterized. The record is from RefSeq and is a predicted model, not a curated record. Lineage: Eukaryota; Viridiplantae; Streptophyta; Magnoliopsida; Myrtales; Myrtaceae. The transcript has 3 exons.
UGUGUAAAUCUAUUUAUGAGAGCCUGCCAUACUUCAAGUGAUCAGGAUUCAUUAUUUCUCCUGUCUCAGUUUGUAUCAUUCGACUUGGAGGGAAAGGAUACUUCUGCACUCUAGUGGCCAUUCUUCUAUGUUUCAGAGACUUUGAAGAUUUGAAGACAAUCCAGUAAACUUUGAAGGUAAGCUAUCUAAGAAAUACCAGGAUCUUUAUCAUAUCAUGCAGUAAGAACUCAUCAGAACUAUCAUACCCAGGUGAUGUGCUCUGAUACCAUGAGAAGAAAUCGAAUACAGAACAAGAUCUUCGAACAAUCAAUGAAAAUACCUCAGACUUCUGUUAUAUUUCUUCUCCAGAACUUCGAGUUCAUUCUUUACACAAUCUUUCAUCAAUUCCAGAUACAGAGAACGAAGAAAAAGCUUCUGAUG